Molecule: ribosomal RNA, 889 nt
Filed under: uncultured bacterium
Lineage: Bacteria
Description: bacterial SSU rRNA
Rfam family: Bacterial small subunit ribosomal RNA
Source: RNAcentral
CUUAUAGUUGGAUCCUGGCUCAUAUUGAACGCUGGCGGCAGGCUUAACACAUGCAAGUCGAGCGGGGAAAGGUAGCUUGCUACCUGACCUAGCGGCGGACGGGUGAGUAAUGCUUAGGAAUCUGCCUAUUAGUGGGGGACAACAUUCCGAAAGGAAUGCUAAUACCGCAUACGCCCUACGGGGGAAAGCAGGGGAUCUUCGGACCUUGCGCUAAUAGAUGAGCCUAAGUCAGAUUAGCUAGUUGGUGGGGUAAAGGCCUACCAAGGCGACGAUCUGUAGCGGGUCUGAGAGGAUGAUCCGCCACACUGGGACUGAGACACGGCCCAGACUCCUACGGGAGGCAGCAGUGGGGAAUAUUGGACAAUGGGCGAAAGCCUGAUCCAGCCACGCCGCGUGUGUGAAGAAGGCCUUUUGGUUGUAAAGCACUUUAAGCGAGGAGGAGGCUACCGAGAUUAAUACUCUUGGAUAGUGGACGUUACUCGCAGAAUAAGCACCGGCUAACUCUGUGCCAGCAGCCGCGGUAAUACAGAGGGUGCGAGCGUUAAUCGGAUUUACUGGGCGUAAAGCGUGCGUAGGCGGCUUUUUAAGUCGGAUGUGAAAUCCCUGAGCUUAACUUAGGAAUUGCAUUCGAUACUGGGAAGCUAGAGUAUGGGAGAGGAUGGUAGAAUUCCAGGUGUAGCGGUGAAAUGCGUAGAGAUCUGGAGGAAUACCGAUGGCGAAGGCAGCCAUCUGGCCUAAUACUGACGCUGAGGUACGAAAGCAUGGGGAGCAAACAGGAUUAGAUACCCUGGUAGUCCAUGCCGUAAACGAUGUCUACUAGCCGUUGGGGCCUUUGAGGCUUUAGUGGCGCAGCUAACGCGAUAAGUAGACCGCCUGGGGAGCCCGGUCG